AACGCUAGCUACAGGCUUAACACAUGCAAGUCGAGGGGCAGCAUGGUCUUAGCUUGCUAAGGCCGAUGGCGACCGGCGCACGGGUGAGUAACACGUAUCCAACCUGCCGUCUACUCUUGGACAGCCUUCUGAAAGGAAGAUUAAUACAAGAUGGCAUCAUGAGUCCGCAUGUUCACAUGAUUAAAGGUAUUCCGGUAGACGAUGGGGAUGCGUUCCAUUAGAUAGUAGGCGGGGUAACGGCCCACCAAGGCGACGAUCAGUAGGGGUUCUGAGAGGAAGGUCCCCCACAUUGGAACUGAGACACGGUCCAAACUCCUACGGGAGGCAGCAGUGAGGAAUAUUGGUCAAUGGGCGAGAGCCUGAACCAGCCAAGUAGCGUGCAGGAUGACGGCCCUAUGGGUUGUAAACUUCUUUUAUAAAGGAAUAAAGUCGGGUAUGCAUACCCGUUUGCAUGUACUUUAUGAAUAAGGAUCGGCUAACUCCGUGCCAGCAGCCGCGGUAAUACGGAGGAUCCGAGCGUUAUCCGGAUUUAUUGGGUUUAAAGGGAGCGUAGAUGGAUGUUUAAGUCAGUUGUGAAAGUUUGCGGCUCAACCGUAAAAUUGCAGUUGAUACUGGAUGUCUUGAGUGCAGUUGAGGCAGGCGGAAUUCGUGGUGCAGCGGUGAAAUGCUUAGAUAUCACGAAGAACUCCGAUUG
Molecule: ribosomal RNA, 694 nt
Filed under: uncultured bacterium
Lineage: Bacteria
Description: bacterial SSU rRNA
Rfam family: Bacterial small subunit ribosomal RNA
Source: RNAcentral